RNAcentral lists this unclassified non-coding RNA (1002 nucleotides) under uncultured fungus. Its description in RNAcentral is "sequence contains 18S rRNA gene, ITS1, 5.8S rRNA gene, ITS2, 28S rRNA gene". The record is from RNAcentral. Lineage: Eukaryota; Fungi.
GCAGCAACCUCGAGCUCAACAACGACGGCACGGCGAGCGAUCGCCCGAACGAUGUGCCGCGCAAUUCGCUGACGCUGCCGUCGCGCAAGAACGUGGACUUCCGCUACUCGCGCAAGUUCACCAUUCACGACAACAUGGCGGCGGAAGUGAUCGGCGAAGUGAAGAACCUGUUCAACACGGAGCAGGUCAGCAGCGUCAACGCGAAUGUGCCGACCAACGCGCAGGGCAUCCCGCUCGGUACGCUGCCGACGUCGGGCAAGGACCUGCAGCCGACCGGCGGGUACGAGCAGCGGCAGUUCCAGUUGGGGUUCAAGUUUAUUUUCUGAUAGACCCGAGGACACGGAGAAGUACGGAGGACACGGAGGCUGACUCCGUGUCCUCUCUUGUCAGGCGUCGGCUCCGUGUUCUCGGAACCGUAAGGAAACGAAAUGCGCAGAUCGUUCUUCGCCCUGGUCGUUUUCGCCUCCGCGCUCUCGGCACAUUCGAGCGCGCAGCAUCAGCUCAUGCCGGUCUCCCAGAUGAGAGGGGAACCCGCGCUCGAAUUACAGUUGCGCAAGCUCGACACCGUGGGCAGCUUCAUGAUGACCACGGCGCAUCCGGACGACGAGAACAACGCGAUGCUGGCGUACUUCUCGCACGGCAAGGGUUUUCGCACGACGCUGGUGACGGCGACCCACGGCGAGGGCGGGCAGAACGAGAUCGGCCCGGAGCUGUUCGAGGCGCUCGCCGUCCUUCGCACCGAGGAGCUGCUGGCCGCGCACAAGUUCGACGGCGCCGAGCAGUUCUUCACGCGCGCGAUCGAUUUCGGCUUCUCGUUCAGCAUCGAAGAAACGCUGGAAAAGUGGGGACACCAGGAGAUCCUCGGCGACUACGUCCGCAUGAUCCGCACCAUCCGCCCGGACGUCAUCGUCGGGUUUGUGUUCGAUGGCGACGGUGGCGGCCAGCAUCACCAGACCUCGACGCGGCUGACGCUCGAAGCGUUCCGCGCGGCAGCCGACCCCG